CAUACGGGCAGGUGGGCAGAGCCUGUAACAAUGCGCGUGGGCCAAGGUGAGCGGGUCACGACCUCGCCAGGCCUCACUUCCGGCCGGGUAAUCAAGCACCCAAGACGUGCCAUCCUCGACUCUACCCGAACCAGCCUGCAGAAAGGACAGCGUGGUGCAGCGGUAAGCCGAACCCCUGACUGACGAAGUUUGCUUUCAUCGAAGCAGACUGGAGGAGUUUACACCAAGGGAACGAACGCCUUGGAGGGACUCUGAAGCCACCCUUGACCUCAAGGCCGUUCGGAACACGCUUGUGUUCCCCAGAGAGAGGUGUCAUCACGCCACGUCUUCCCCAAGAUGAAUCCGAAGACACCGCUCCGUGUUCGUGUAGCGUCUGCGUGUCUCUUCCACAUACAUUACGUACACUCGAACACCUACACUCCGUAAUGUUAUACAUAAACAUACAUAACAAUAGGAGGGCGGUUUAAAUCUGACGAUAUUUCGUCUUGCAAAAGGCACGGGAAAGUUCAGCUGGUGCAGGAGUUUUUCCCCUAAGCUAGAUUCUUAAUAUAAAUACGGGGUUUUAUCCUCAUGAGCCACCUGAGCUUCCACCCGAAGACCCUUUUAGUCUACACACACCCUUUUGUAGCUAGUUAGACUUAUAAUUUUUUUUUUCUUCCCUGAAAAAAGUCCUCGUUUGUAUGGGAUAAUGUGAGAGCACAGGAGCACUAGAUUUUUGAGAGGGCAAUAAAUUACCGCACUCUCAUAGAAGAGAACCAUUUACCAUGCGGGCAGGUGGGUGGAGCCUGUAUCAAUGCGCGUGGGCCAAGGUGAGCGGGUCACGACCUCGCCAGGCCUCACUUCCGGCCGGGUCAUCCAACGCCCAAGACGUGCCAUGCUCGAUUCCAUCCGAACCAGCCUGCAGAAAGGACAGCGUGGUGCAACGGUAAGCCGAAGGCCUGACUGACGAAACUGGCUUUCAUCGAAGCAGACUGGAGGAGUGAGUACACCAGGGGAACACCUUGGGUGAGUUAUUUGUGGUAAGGCCUGUUCUCAAGCGCAUGUCCAGUCGCCCAGCGACCACAUGGUCGUCGCUCCUUAUCGAGUGAUAUAGUGCGUAGUGGCAGCUAUUUACCUCCGUGAUCCAGUAAUUUAACGUAAAGCUGUGCUCUUACAAUGUAGCUUAAUUCUUCCUCAUUCGGUGCCCACGUGGUCACAUUGUAGUGUUUCUAGGGUAAGGACCGGGCAUUGGCCUCACUUCCGGAGGAAUAAGUAUUUUUUUUGUGUGCCGCUCACGCGCCACUGAGUGUAGUUUAAGCUAGCCAGGCCUUCAUUGUAGUUACUGUGUAAAUAUAAAUAAAAGAUUUAUAACUGU
Long non-coding RNA from Scylla paramamosain (green mud crab), 1354 nucleotides. RefSeq lists it as uncharacterized. Lineage: Eukaryota; Metazoa; Arthropoda; Malacostraca; Decapoda; Portunidae. The record is from RefSeq and is a predicted model, not a curated record. The transcript is spliced from 2 exons.